GACGGAGGAUGCAAGUGUUAUCCGGAAUCACUGGGCGUAAAGCGUCUGUAGGUGGUUCGAAAAGUCCACUGUUAAAAAUUGAGGCUUAACCUCAAAGAUGCCGUGGAAACUUUCAAACUAGAGUAUGGUAGGGGUAGAGGGAAUUUCCAGUGGAGCGGUGAAAUGCGUAGAUAUCGGAAAGACCACCGAUGGCGAAGGCACUCUACUGGGCCAUUACUGACACUGAGAGACGAAAGCUAGGGGAGCAAAUGGG
This 253-nucleotide ribosomal RNA is filed under the name uncultured bacterium. Its description in RNAcentral is "partial 16S ribosomal RNA". It matches the Rfam family "Bacterial small subunit ribosomal RNA", at positions 524 to 776 of the family's 1533-position model. The record is from RNAcentral.